RNAcentral lists this ribosomal RNA (877 nucleotides) under Penicillium glabrum. RNAcentral describes it as "eukaryotic LSU rRNA". It matches the Rfam family "Eukaryotic large subunit ribosomal RNA", at positions 43 to 952 of the family's 3401-position model. The record is from RNAcentral. Lineage: Eukaryota; Fungi; Ascomycota; Eurotiomycetes; Eurotiales; Aspergillaceae.
UUCAUAGCGGAGGAAAGAAACACAGGGAUUACUCAGUAACGGCGAGGGAGCGGUAGAGCUCAAAUUGAAAGCUGCUCUUCGGGGUCCGCAUUGUAUUUGCAGAGGAUGUUCGGGAGCAGCCCCCAUCUAAGUGUCCUGGAACGGACCGUCAUAGAGGGUGAGAAUCCCGUAUGGGAUGGGGUGUCUGCGCCCAUGUGAAACUCCUUCGACGAGUCGAGUUGUUUGGGAAUGCAGCUCUAAAUGGGUGGUAAAUUUCAUCUAAAGCUAAAUAUUGGCCGGAGACCGAUAGCGCACAAGUAGAGUGAUCGAAAGAUGAAAAGCACUUUGAAAAGAGAGUUAAAAAGCACGUGAAAUUGUUGAAAGGGAAGCGCUUGCGAUCAGACUCGCCUUGGGGGUUCAGCCGGCAUUCGUGCCGGUGUACUUCCCCCAGGGCGGGCCAGCGUCGGUUUGGGUGGCCGGUCAAAGGCCCUUGGAAUGUAACGCCUCUCGGGGCGUCUUAUAGCCAAGGGUGCCAUGCGGCCUACCUGGACCGAGGAACGCGCUUCGGCUCGGACGCUGGCAUAAUGGUCGUAAGCGACCCGUCUUGAAACACGGACCAAGGAGUCUAACAUCUACGCGAGUGUUCGGGUGUCAAACCCGUGCGCGCAGUGAAAGCGAACGGAGGUGGGAACCCUUUGGGUGCACCAUCGACCGAUCCUGAUGUCUUCGGAUGGAUUUGAGUAAGAGCGUAGCUGUUGGGACCCGAAAGAUGGUGAACUAUGCCUGAAUAGGGCGAAGCCAGAGGAAACUCUGGUGGAGGCUCGCAGCGGUUCUGACGUGCAAAUCGAUCGUCGAAUUUGGGUAUAGGGCGAAAGACUAAUCGAACCAUCCAAAUGUC